RNAcentral lists this ribosomal RNA (596 nucleotides) under Wolbachia endosymbiont of Bemisia tabaci. RNAcentral describes it as "partial 23S ribosomal RNA". It matches the Rfam family "Bacterial small subunit ribosomal RNA", at positions 220 to 833 of the family's 1533-position model. The record is from RNAcentral. Lineage: Bacteria; Pseudomonadati; Pseudomonadota; Alphaproteobacteria; Rickettsiales; Anaplasmataceae.
AUUAGAUGAGCCUAUAUUAGAUUAGCUAGUUGGUGGAGUAAUAGCCUACCAAGGCAAUGAUCUAUAGCUGAUCUGAGAGGAUGAUCAGCCACACUGGAACUGAGAUACGGUCCAGACUCCUACGGGAGGCAGCAGUGGGGAAUAUUGGACAAUGGGCGAAAGCCUGAUCCAGCCAUGCCGCAUGAGUGAAGAAGGCCUUUGGGUUGUAAAGCUCUUUUAGUGCGGAAGAUAAUGACGGUAAUCACAGAAGAAGUCCUGGGUAACUCCGUGCCAGCAGCCGCGGUAAUACGGAGAGGGCUAGCGUUAUUCGGAAUUAUUGGGCGUAAAGGGCGCGUAGGCUGAUUAAUAAGUUAAAAGUGAAAUCCCGAGGCUUAACCUUGGAAUUGCUUUUAAAACUAUUAAUCUAGAGAUUGAAAGAGGAUAGAGGAAUUCCUGAUGUAGAGGUAAAAUUCGUAAAUAUUAGGAGGAACACCAGUGGCGAAGGCGUCUAUCUGGUUCAAAUCUGACGCUGAAGCGCGAAGGCGUGGGGAGCAAACAGGAUUAGAUACCCUGGUAGUCCACGCUGUAAACGAUGAAUGUUAAAUAUGGGAAGUUUA